RNAcentral lists this ribosomal RNA (227 nucleotides) under uncultured bacterium. RNAcentral describes it as "partial 16S ribosomal RNA". It matches the Rfam family "Bacterial small subunit ribosomal RNA", at positions 118 to 346 of the family's 1533-position model. The record is from RNAcentral.
UGAGCAAUCUGCCCUUCACUUCGGGAUAACUCCGGGAAACCGGUGCUAAUACCGAAUACGACCACUUCAGGCAUCUGAUGGUGGUGGAAAGUUCCGGCGGUGAAGGAUGAGCUCGCGGCCUAUCAGCUUGUUGGUGAGGUAACGGCCCACAAGGCAACGACGGGUAGCCGGCCUGAGAGGGUGACCGGCCACACUGGGACUGAGACACGGCCCAGACUCCGUAGGGA